CGUUUCUCUGUCGCCGUCGGAGGUGUCUUGGUUCAAGAUCCCAUAUGAUCUGAGUCGCAACCCCUACCNGUUAGUUUGCCAUCAGGUCAAUGCUGGAGCACUCUGGCGGGACUGCCGGAUGUAAGCCGAUGGAGGAAGGUGGGGAUGACGUCAAAUCACACGGGCCCUUACGUCCGGGGCUACACACGUGUUACAAUGGUAGGUACAGAGGGCAGCUACCCUGCGAAGGGAUGCGAAUCUCAAAGCCUAUCUCAAUUCGGAUUGGAGGCUGAAACCCGCCUCCAUGAANUUGGAUUCGCUA
RNAcentral lists this ribosomal RNA (301 nucleotides) under uncultured bacterium. RNAcentral's name for it is "bacterial SSU rRNA". It matches the Rfam family "Bacterial small subunit ribosomal RNA", at positions 1039 to 1337 of the family's 1533-position model. The record is from RNAcentral.